GAUGAACGCUGGCGGCGUGCUUAACACAUGCAAGUCGAACGGAAAGGCUCCUGCUUGCAGGGGUACUCGAGUGGCGAACGGGUGAGUAACACGUGGGUGAUCUGCCCUGCACUUCGGGAUAAGCCUGGGAAACUGGGUCUAAUACCGGAUAGGACCACAUUUUGGAUGGUGUGGUGGAAAGUUUUUCGGUGUGGGAUGAGCUCGCGGCCUAUCAGCUUGUUGGUGGGGUAAUGGCCUACCAAGGCGUCGACGGGUAGCCGGCCUGAGAGGGUGUACGGCCACAUUGGAACCGAGAGACGGCCCAGACUCCUACGGGAGGCAGCAGUGGGGAAUAUUGCACAAUGGGCGCAAGCCUGAGGCAGCGACGCCGCGUGGGGGAUGACGGCCUUCGUGUUGUAAACACCUUUCGCUAGGGACGAAGCGUUUUUGUGACGGUACCUGGAGAAGAAGCACCGGCUAACUACGUG
This 467-nucleotide ribosomal RNA is filed under the name uncultured bacterium. RNAcentral describes it as "partial 16S ribosomal RNA". It matches the Rfam family "Bacterial small subunit ribosomal RNA", at positions 28 to 507 of the family's 1533-position model. The record is from RNAcentral.